GCAGCCGUAGUCGCCGCUCUGUAUCUAGCAUGGAGGAAGCUAUGAGGAAGCAGCAAGAAAAGUUUCGUGAAGAGAUGCGGCAACAACAAAUGGCAUUUCUCCAACAGCAAUCAGAGUACAUGGCUGCUUACAACGCACAGGCGCAACAAGCAAUGAACGUGAGUGUCUUAUUUAUUCUCAACACGCUCGAUAUUGGUUCUAUAACUAAUAUAUUAUAUUUGCAACAGUCUUGGUUUCCACAGCAGGCACAUCAGCAACCAUUUGUUUUCCCUCAAUUUCAGCCGUCGAUGCCUCAGUGGGGAUUACAUGCUCCGCCACCUCCACCUCCACCUCAGGUUAUUCAAUUUAGUUAAGACUUGUCGUUUGUAUCAACCUAAUUUCAAAUCUUUACUAAACUUGAUUUUGUAGGGAUCCGGGGUCAUGGG
RNAcentral lists this long non-coding RNA (425 nucleotides) under Zea mays. RNAcentral's name for it is "long non-coding RNA (ZMAY_LNC005899)". Lineage: Eukaryota; Viridiplantae; Streptophyta; Magnoliopsida; Poales; Poaceae. The record is from RNAcentral.